RNAcentral lists this ribosomal RNA (439 nucleotides) under uncultured bacterium. Its description in RNAcentral is "partial 16S ribosomal RNA". It matches the Rfam family "Bacterial small subunit ribosomal RNA", at positions 339 to 795 of the family's 1533-position model. The record is from RNAcentral.
CUACGGGGCGCUCCAGUGAGGAAUAUUGCACAAUGGGGGGAACCCUGAUGCAGCAACGCCGCGUGGAGGAUGACGCAUUUCGGUGUGUAAACUCCUUUUAUAUGUCAAGAAAAUGACGGUAGCAUAUGAAUAAGCACCGGCUAACUCCGUGCCAGCAGCCGCGGUAAUAAGGAGGGUGCAAGCGUUACUCGGAAUCACUGGGCGUAAAGGACGCGUAGGCGGGUUGGAAAGUCAGGUGUGAAAUCCUACAGCUUAACUGUAGAACUGCACUUGAAACUUCUAAUCUAGAGUAUGGGAGGGGGAGAUGAAAUUAGUGGUGUAGGGGUAAAAUCCGUAGAUAUCACCAGGAAUACCUAAAGCGAAGGCGAUCUCCUGGAACAUUACUGACGCUAAGGCGUGAAAGCGUGGGAAGCAAACAGGAUUAGAUACCCGAGUAGUC